GGCCGCCUGGCGUAAUGGCAACGCGUCUGACUACGACUCGGUUAUCAGGAGAUUGCAGGUUCGACCCCUGCGGUGGUCA
Earliella scabrosa is the source of this 79-nucleotide non-coding RNA. The record is from the annotation of a GenBank genome assembly. NCBI's taxonomy places the organism in Eukaryota, Fungi, Basidiomycota, Agaricomycetes, Polyporales, Polyporaceae.